GCUCAAUAAACAAGCUUCACCCUUUCCAUUUCUCAAACAAUCGUUUUGAAUUCUUCAUUCUUCAUUCAGAGAGAACAACUAUCUACCCAAAUCAAUCAAAUUGAAAUUUUCUAAUGGCGAGUCUGAGUUAAGGUGUGAUCAAUCUCCUUAGACCGAUCAACUCUAACAAAGGCACCAUCGCUUCUUCCACAAAACCCCAAUUUCAGGUUAUUAUAUAGAAGCAAACAAUGAGCGUAUCUGGAACUCGAUUUGGUUCUUGGCAAAUGGGUAGAGGAUAACAUCCACUCACUUGAUCAAAAUCGAAUUGAAGCCGUCAUUCAUGUCUUCGACUUGGUAAUAAUUUAUCUAUCUUCAUCUCUGUAUUAUACAAUUUGUACAUUACUUGGAUUCUUUGUAUGUUCUAAUAUACUAACCCAUAUGCUAUCAAUAUUCAAUAUUCCCUCCACUCCUUUUUAUAAGAGUCCCUCAAUAUCAUAACAUCGUAGCUCACCUUGUAUACUUGUUUCUUUUCAUAAUUUCUUUCACUCCCCCAAACAUCGUAAAUAUUUUCUCCUAAAAUCCUCCCGUUUGUGUGUCUUCACCAUCAAGAAACUUAACCAAUAUAUAAAUUUGUUUUGUUGUCUUAUUUGCACUUUCAAUUUCCUUUCAAAGAUUUACAAAACCAAUUGUUUCAGUAAUUAAAGCCCAUAUUAUUGUCUGUUUUCAUCUACUUGGUUAAUCAAUAUUUUUUUUUUUAAAUAUUCAACAAAAUAUUAAUUACAAGAACUACCAGAUACACGAGAGGACGUCAAGUAAAAUAUAAUGAGUGACAAAGCCUAAUUUUGCAACUCAUUACAUUUUACAUAGCAUCUUUUUGUGUAUCUGGAAGUUCUUGCAAUUAUGUUGCGUUGAAUAUUUCCUCCGUCUCAUAAUAUAAAUAAAAAUUAGUCAAAGAAAGUUGAUGUAUUUAGUCCAAAUUUUGAGCUAUAUACAUAAAGUUUUUUUGACCAAUUUUUGUUUGUAUUUUGAGAACGAGGUAGUACUUGGAAAGAAUGUGUCAAUCAAGGGGUGAAAUCACAAGAAAAAUAGGGAUUUUAAUUGUUGAAACAUUUGAUUGUGAUAAUUUGUUAAAGGAAACUGAAAAUGUAAUUAAGAAAAAAAUAAAUUUAUUUGUUGAUUAAGUUUUCUGAAAUUAUAACCAAUUCUUCGUAAGUACUCGACAAAAGAUUAAUUACAAGAACUUCUCAAUAUAAGAGAAAACGCCCAAGUAAAAUAUAAUGAGCAACAAAGACUAAAUUUGCUACUCAUUACAUUUUACAUUAGCAUUUUUGUUGUGUAUAUGGAAGUUCUUGUAAUUAUGUUGCGUUGAAUACUUCCUUUGUCUCAGAAUAUAAAUAAAAAUGACUCAAAAAAAGUUGAUGUAUUUGGUCCAAAUUUUAAGCUAAAUACAUUAACUUUUUUGAAACAAUGAUAAUUUGUUAAAGGAAACUGAAAAUUUAAUUAAGAAAAAAAUAAAUUUAUUUGUUAAGUUUUUUGAAAUUGUAACCAAUUAUGUGUAAGUACUCGACAAAACAUUAAUUACAAGAACUUCGAGAAGAAACCUAAGUAAAAUAUAAUGAGGACAAAGACUAAAUUUGCUACUCAUUACAUUUUACAUUAGCAUCUUCUUGUGUAUCGAGAAGUUCUUGUAAGUAUGUUGUGUUGAAUACUUCCUCUGUCUAAUGAUAUAAAUAAAAAUUAGUUAAAGAAAGUUGAUGUAUUUGGUCCAAAUUUUGAAUUAAAUACAUUAACUUUGUUGGACCAAUUUUUGUUUGUAUUUUGCAAACGAGUGAGUAGUUGGAAAGAAUGUGUCAAUCAACGAGGUGGAAACACAAGAAAAAUAGGGAUUUUAAUUGUUGAAACAUUUUAUGGUGAAUAUUUUUUAAAGGAAUCCGAAAAUGUAAUUAAGAAAAAAAAAUUGUUGAUUAUGUUUUCUAAAAUUGUAACCAAUUCUAAGUACUCAACAAAAUAUUAAUUAUAAGAACUUCUCUAUAGAGGAGAAGACGUCGUCCAAGUAAAAUAUAAUGAGUGACAAAUAUUGAAUUUGCUACUCAUUACAUUUUACAUUAGCAUCUUCUGGUGUAUCCGGAAGUUCUUGUAAUUAUGUUGUGUUGAAUAUUUACUCUGUCCUAAAAUAUAAAUAAAAAUGAGUCAAAGAAAAUUGAUGUAUUUAAUUCAAAUUUUGAGUUAAAUACAUUAAUUUUCCUUAAUCAAUUUUUGUUUGUAUUUUGGGACCAAAUAAGUACUUGACAAUGAAAAUUAUUUUAAGAACGCUUAAAAUGUUAUUAAUAUAAAUACAAUAACUUUAUUUGUUGAUUAAGUUUUCGGAAAAUGUAAUAAAUUCUUUUUUAAGUGUUCAACAAAGCAUUAAUUAUAAGAAUUUCUCGGGUCCAUCUAAAAUAUAAUAAUUGACAAAGACUAAGUUUGCCAUUCAUUACAUUUUAUAUUAACAUUUCUUUUACAUUUGAAAGUUUUGUAAUUAUGUUGUGUUGAAUACUUCCCUUGUCUCAAAAUAUAAAUAUAAAUGAGUCUAAAAAAGUUGAUAUAUUUAGUUUAAAUUUUGAAUUAAAUACAUUAAUUUUCUUGGAUCAAAUUUUGUUUGUAUUUUGUAGUCGGAGGAGUACUUGGAAAGAAGGGUGAAAACACAAGAAAAACAUGGGUUUUAAAUAAUUGUUGAAUCAUUUUACAUUGAGAAUUUUUUAAAUGAAGUUUAAAAUGUAAUUAAUAUAAAAAAAUAAAUUUAUUUGUUGAUUAAGGUUUUUGAAAAUGUAACAAAUUCUUUUUAAGUAUUCAACAAAAUAUUAAUUAUAAGAAUUUUACGAUACACGAAAAGACGUCCAAGUAAAAUAUAACGAGUGAUAAAGAUUAAGUUUGCCACUCAUUAGAUCUUACAUUAGCAUCUUUUUUAAUAUGUGAAACUUCUUAUAAUUAUGUUGCAUUCAAUACUUCCUUUGUCCCAAAAUAUAAAUAAAAAUAAGUUAAAAAUAGUUGACGUAUUUGAUCCAAAAUUUGAGUUAAAUAUAUCGACUUUCUUUAAAUAGUUUUUGCUUGUAUUUAGGAACAGAAGAAGUACAUGGAAAGAAUGUGUUAAUCAAAGAGUUGAAAACACAAGAAAAUUUAGGCUUUAUUUAUUAAAACACAUGACAGUGAUAAUUUUUUAAAGGAAGCUUAAAAUGUAAUUAAUAUAAAUAAAUAAAUUUAUUUGUUGAUUAAGUUUGCACUUAGCGAAGACUAACAAAUAUAGGAAUUUUUGUGAGAAAAUGUAUAUGAUGUUUGGGGAAGUGUAAGAAAUUAUGGAAAGAAAAAAAAAACUAAUAUGCAAAUUGUUAGGAAAAUAUUUUAAGAGCAUAAAGGACCAAAAUGAACCAUACUAUUAAUUGGCUUGGUUUCGCAAUGACCCCACAAUUUUACGAUAAUGGCAUCCUGCAACACUAGCUCCAAGAGAUAUAGCUAGAAAGCCAUUAGUCAGGAUAAAGAAGUGGUCUCAACACUAAUGCAAGCUGAAAAAGUAUCUAAAAUUGUAGAGGGACUUAAGCUAUUAUGCGAUCUGUUUUCCAUGCUUCACAAAAAAAAGAUAUAUAUAUAUAUAUAUAUAUAUGUAAUGCAUGCUACUCAAUUGGAUGUGCUAACCAUGGAUGCUCCUCUGUUGAGCAAUAAGUAGCUCUUCUGUUGAAAGUGUUUGGAGUACUUAUUCUUUUAUUCUUAUAUUCGUAAUUUAAAGAGGACUAUGCUUCAUUGUGUAAGAGUAGACAAGUUUAUCCAAUGUCGAUUUUCUAAUAGCUAUAACCAUGACCCGCUCAAAAAUGGGAUAUGGAAGAAUGUUCUACAAUGUAUGAGCUUGGUUAAAGAAAACGAAAUCAGAGGAUUAUCAAAUAAUUGCAAUGUGGAGAGCUCUUGUCAAGAGAGGAAAAAGACAUCAAAAUUGAGGUUUUAUUUUUUUUGUUCGCAAAUUAUGUUAAAAUUGAAUUAUGUUUAGACUCUUACUUUUGUCUUUAAAUUCUUAGGUUAAUUUUUAUAGAUGAUAUUAUAUGUUUUUUAUAAUGUACUUUAUUGUAUCUAACUAAUUUAUUUAUUUUAUUGAUUA
Molecule: non-coding RNA, 4102 nt
Organism: Cicer arietinum (chickpea)
Lineage: Eukaryota; Viridiplantae; Streptophyta; Magnoliopsida; Fabales; Fabaceae
Source: RefSeq, a predicted model, not a curated record